RNAcentral lists this ribosomal RNA (194 nucleotides) under uncultured glomeraceous AM fungus. RNAcentral describes it as "partial 18S ribosomal RNA". It matches the Rfam family "Eukaryotic small subunit ribosomal RNA", at positions 569 to 766 of the family's 1831-position model. Lineage: Eukaryota; Fungi; Glomeromycota; Glomeromycetes; Glomerales; Glomeraceae. The record is from RNAcentral.
AGCAGCCGCGGUAAUUCCAGCUCCAAUAGCGUAUAUUAAAGUUGUUGCAGUUAAAAAGCUCGUAGUUGAACUUCAGGCCUGGUCGGGCGGUCUGCCUCACGGUACGUACUGUCUGACCGGGUCUUACCUCUUGGUGAGCCGGCAUGCCCUUCACUGGGUGUGUCGGGGAACCAGGACUUUUACUUUGAGAAAAU